This is a non-coding RNA of Phoenix dactylifera (date palm), 2416 nucleotides long. The record is from RefSeq and is a predicted model, not a curated record. NCBI's taxonomy places the organism in Eukaryota, Viridiplantae, Streptophyta, Magnoliopsida, Arecales, Arecaceae.
CCUUAUUUCUCCUCCUCCUCCUCCUCCUCCUCCUCCUCCGAUGGUGGAGAGAUCAGAGACUAGGGUUCGUCUGCUGCUGCGCUGGCGGUUUCUGGAUGUUCUUGAAUCCAGGAUCGACCCGCGUUCUUGCAUUAGGGAGCGAACUCAUAAUUCUCCCUCUUUGACAUCCUUGCUGAUUCUUCUUUUUCUUUUCUUGUGGCAGAUUCCAUCUUGGUGUUAGUUUUUCCGAUUUGUUGGGUGAUUUUGAUGUUGGAACGCCCGAAUGAAAUUAUUUUGUUGCAGUUUCUUUCUCUCUCUAUGGCUUUCUUUUCCGUGCUUGAUAAAUUUCUUGGUUCUUGCUAUGUAUUCUUGUUCUGUUUUGCAUAUGUAUUGGGUGAUUUCGGUGGUGGAACGCUUGAGCAGUCUUGUUACCUUGAGUGGAAUUGUUUCUUUGGUGUGAAAGAUUUGAUCUUGUUCUGUUUCGCGGAUGUGUUUAGCGAUUUCAAUAUUGGAAGACUUAUUUCAUACACAAAAGAAAGAAGAAAGGAAGUUCAAACAGUCACAUGGAAUGUGCGUUUUCCGGUUUCUUUCCUCCUUUCUUUCUUCUCUGUACUUGAUGACUUUAUUAUUUCUCGUCAAAGAUUUGAUCGUCUGCUAUUUUACGUAUGUGUACAAUGGUUCCUUUGUGCUUAAUUAUUUUUUUGCGGUUACUUUCUUUCUUCCUUAGUUUCUUUUCUGUGUUUGACGGAUUUCUUAUUUGCUGCAAAAUAUUUGAUGCCCUGUUGCCCUACUUGUGUGUUACACGAAUUUUGACAUUGGAACGCUUGAAUACAACCAUUGUAUUAUGCUUCCUUUAUUUAUUUCUCCUUUGGUGCUUUUAUGUGCAUGAUAAUUUUCUUAUUUCUCAUAAAAGAUUCAAUCUUCUGCUUGCUUGUGCGUUGGUGAUUUAAGUGUUUGAACGGUUGAAUGGAAUUAUUUUGUGUGUUCUUCCUUUCUUUCCUUCUUUCCUUCUUUCUUUCCUGUUCUUUGCGAAUUUCUUUGCCCCAUUCUGUUGAUGUCCCUGGUGAAUAUGUUGGGUUGUUUGAAUGGAAUUAUUUAUUAUGAUAUCUUUCUCUUUCUUUUCCCUGAUCUUUGGUUUAAUGGCUUAUAAGUUACAGAGAACAGUAAUUGUUUAAACCCUUUUGAUUUUAUUUACUUUCAAGUAAUUCGAAGCAUUUUUUUCAUAUAUUUCUAUAGGCCCAUAUGAGCUUGUAAAGGAAAGCUUCAGAUGUUAAGAUGGUCAUAUUGCUUUGAAUACUAUCAAGCAUUGGAUUACAUAAGUUUCUGCUGAUGACAUGACAUCUACAUGCACGUUUGAUCAGUUUUGAUGUCCUCACAUGUUGAUUGAUUUAUUUACUUAAAUCUUUGGAAUCCUUGAUUUGCAUGCAUUGUUCUGAUUGUUUCUUAUUCACUAUGCAUAUAGAUUUGUCCUACCUGAUAAUUUAAGCUUGUGUUGGAGUUGAAGCCUAUAGGAGGAAGAGUAAUAGAAAUGGCGAAAGCAUCACCAGGACAGGUAUCUCCAAAAGUAUAGAAGACAUGGCUGAAAGUCAUCGAGGAGGAGAAAUUACUAAGCUGGGUAUUAAGCAUGUCAACGUGGUGUUGCUUUAUGAGUCUUCUAGUGCUAACAAGAUCUUCAUGGCUUGUCGGAUAAGAAAAUUGUUGAAUGGAAGGGAACAGAAGUCCCUUCAGUUUGGCUGGGCUGAUUUUGCAGGGAGAUCAUGAUCCCUGUCCCAAGGUGGUGCAAGGGCUCGCUGAAGAUGCUAUUGAUUUUGCUGCUGAAACAUGGCACAGUGUAGGUCCUUUUCUCAUUCUAUAUUUACUUCUGAUUGUGAGAAUUGCGUGAGGAUGGAAAUAAUUUAUUACUGACACUGCAUUAUUGUAGAGACUUCUACAUAUUUAGCGGUACAUUCCUAGUUCUUGCACUUAGCAGAAACCCAUUUGAAAUGAUGAGAGCAAAGCUAUCUGUCAUCCAGAUCCUUCAAAGUUGCACCAUACUUAUUUCAGAUGUUAGGUUAUAUUGCUGUUUCUUUUGAACUCUUAUAGAAUAUAGACCAUAAUUUUAGGUUCUUGGACUCUUGCACCUUGUCCUAUACAGCAGUUCAGCAUGAUUCCAUUAUUGCACAAAUGUGCAGAAUUUUAGGUUUUGGUUCUAAUGGAUGAACUAAUCUACUUCUAUGACAGCAUCAAAAUUCUCUUGCUGACUCUUCUAUCGCCUUCUUCCACUGCAGAGCAUAUUAUGUGCCAUCAGGAUACCACCGUAUAUCCUGUGAUUUUAGUGCAUGUUUUUUCUCAUUUAGCAAUUCUCAUGCCUGUGAGGGCCUGGAAAGGCGAUGAAACUUCAGUUUGUUGGAAUCCUGUGCAUUGACCAAACAAAACUUCUCAUGUCCUGUUUGUCAUA